UGCGCCGCCGGGUGCUGGGCCCCCGCCCCAAGGGCCCGGUGACCUCCAGGAGGCGACAGCCCGCCGGCCGGGGAGGGCUCGCCGGGCCUCCUACCCUCCGGGCCGCGCGCGCCCGUAGCCGUUGGCGCCCGGCGGGUCCCCAGCGCAGCCCCCUCUGAGGCGAGAGCCCAGCCAGGCUCCUCUCGCCGUCGGGCCCUUCCGCCGCCUCUUCCCUCCUCGGAAGCCCCGGAAUCCUUUAUCUUCUAAUUCAUGAACGUUAUUUUUGCCAGGUUUUUUUUUUUUUUUUUUCCCCAAGAGGUUGGGGGCGGGGGGAGCUGAAAACGAGACGUUUGCUUCUCUCAGCUACCUUGCAAGCCAAUAAUUACCGAACACAACGAUAAUUAAAUCUGUGACCAGAUGGGCCUAAUUCGGGGAGGAACUGAUUUUCCUGAGGCUGCUGCCAUCCUUGGGGACAGGGACGCCCCGGAGCGUGGCGCGGCCGGGGUCACGCGUGCCCUCUGCUGGGAGGCCCGUCCGCGUGCGUGACCUCACCGGCCGGGAUGCGGUGGUCCCACUCUCCCCGACCGGAAGCCUUGGAGCCACUCGGCUUUAACUUGAUGGCGCUGUUUCAGACACUGUGGGAGGAAGGUCAGGAACACAGCAGAGCCUGAACUGGAUCUGGGCAGAUGAUCCCGGAGGAAGGACGGUGAGGACAGCUCACUCAGUCCAAACAAGCAACCUGGCUGGACUGGCCCUGAGCAAGAGGUCUCAGUCAGAGACCUGGCUGCGUCCGAAUGGGCCAGAGCUGAAGAGCUCAGCCGCCCAACUGCUAAGCCACGAAAAAACUUCUUCAGAGGAGGGCUGACACACACCAUCUUCUAAGGAAGGGAGCGUCUCUCCUUGGAGGGACCCAGUGUGCACUUUGCCUGUUUGCGGGCUAUGACUGCCCGGGGCAAUUUAAGACAGCAUUCGCAGUCACCUACAGAGAACUUGCUCUGUGCCAAGCACAUAUGUUAAUGCAAUUGGUGACAAAGGCCAGAAAACACGAAGAUUAAAAAAACCCACAGGCUUAGCUCACCUCUUCCUCUGCCUUCUUGCGGAGUCCUUCUUUUGUAAUCAUGAAUUGUGUUUAUUCCCAGCUUCGAAUUAAGUGGUUAAGUUUUCUUUCCGAAUGCAAACGCAGAGUGAUUCAAAGGGCAGUCUGAAUUCUGGGUUAUAAGGGCCAUGUGCACGGCGGUCACAGCUCCCCGCAUUGCGUGGCACAGUCACUGCGACAGUCUUAGGAAGUUCCUCUCAUCGUCCCCAUUUAGCAGGUGGCAAAGUGGCAGAGGUGGACUCAAGCCUGGGCUCUGCAGCUCCAGCACGGACACAGCCCACCCGUGGUCCAAACCUCGCCCUGUACACUUGCUGGGAAACUGGGCAGUUAUCAGCUCCAUCGAGUGUUGUGCCCAAGGAGACUCUAUCACCAGAAGGGUGUUGAGUCGAGAGUAGCUGUUCCCCGAGAUUCCUGUUUGCUCUCAUUACUGCCGAAUUGCAAGAGCGGAAGGUGCAAACUCCCCACCUGGACCGUUGGGCGUGAUGGUAAUGCUGCUAUGUAGCUACGGGGGGGGGCACGUCACCAUCUAAAAGCCACUGGCUCAACAUGUGUGCCACGCUGAAAGACAGGCCCCUAGCCCUGCAGGAGGCUGUCCCCAAGCUGGCUUCCUACAGGUGUCUACCCAGAAGGUGGGUUGCUUCUCCCUCCAGGAUGCAGGGCUCUGCCCUAACCAACUUGCCACCAGCAUUGGGUUAGAAGCAGCCUCGGCCGUGGGUGAGAGGGGGUCCACGCUGCAGGUCUCUUGCACACCUCCAUCCCCGCCACCACGACCGCACUGUCCACACCGCCCAUGGCCCUCUGUGCAGGGCGAUGGCGGGGCAGGCAGAGCCUGGCCUGGCUGCCCUCAGCUACAGACACCACCUGAGCACCGGUUGCCAAGCGCCCCUUUACUGAUGCUCCCUGAAAGAUUGAGAGGGGAUCACAGGCCCUUCCCUACUCCCUGGCAACCCCUCAUCCCAUCUCGCCCCUUCCAGACCCCCACUGAGGAGCCCAGCCACCCAGCACUGCCCACACAUCUGUGCACAGAGGCGGUAGGCCAGCUUCUCCGCCCUGUCUGCCCUUCGCCCUGGCAGGAGCUGGGCUGGAGCCAGGCAGCAGGCCAUUGUUGGUUCACAUCGAAUUAUCCAGCAAACCCAUUCGUAAACCACGUCCAGAGGCCCUGGGAGUUAAGACUUGAACCUACCUUUGAGGGGAGAAAGGUCAACCCACAAGCAGGAUCGUGGCUCGGAAACACCCACCAGAGGCCGUGCUUCCUGUCACUCGACAUCAGAGCAAACGCGAAAUCUCAGGGUGUCUCUUGCCUCGGCACCAGACUCGUCCCAACACACCCAUGACGGGUCCACCGUCAUCCUCACUGGUCCCAGCAGCCGUCCGUAACCCCCUCCCAGGUUCCAGACUUCGGGUGGGGUCGGGUGGGGGGACAAGCUUGACAGUCCCUGGUACUUAUCCCUGGAGCCCUGUUCGUGUCAGCUGUGUGAACCGUUGUGUUGGACAGGCGGUAAGUGCUAAUUUUCUGCGUUUACCAGUUUUCAAUGUCAUGACCCAGCUUCCUUCAAAGGAAACCAGUGAUUUUUUUUUUAAGUUAUCAUGAUGAAUUCAUGGAUUUUGAAAAAUAUAUUUCAUGCAUUUCAGUUUAUUUCCCUCUCCCAAGUUUCUCAUUUGUGUCCUUGUUGGGAGCUGUUAGUCUGCGAGGCUCUCACAUUUCUGAAUAUCUGAGCGGAAGUAGUGACAGCUUCUGUUCUACCUUUUCAGGAGUGUUCGGGACCAAACAGCCUUUCAAAGAUGGAGACAUGGUCCCCUCCGAGGCAAAGGACGAAGUUGAUUGCUGACCAGCAGGUUGAAAAUAACAGCAAAGUUGGAGUUCCCAUCAUGGCACAGGGGAAACAAACCUGACCAGAAUGUAUCUCUUAAUGAACAAGAAUUGAGCGUUUGUUGGCCACUGACCAUGGUUAGUCAAUGGAGCCUUUAAAUCUCUGCUUUUCAAAGUUUGCUAAGAUUUAAAUGUCCCAUGAACAUACAAGGAUGAAUACGCUUGGCUCAAGAGAUUAUAUGCUUAUAUUUAUUAGGUAAGGUUUUUGUGCUAUAUUUUAAAAAGACCUUUUUACUCCAAAUAAUUUUAGAAUAAAAUUAUUUAUUCUAAAUAGGUUGCAAAAACAGUCCAGAGAGCUCCCGUGUGGACUUCACACAGCUUCCUUCGGUGAAAACGUCUCACGGAGCCGGAGGGCAGUCCAGCGAGGGGGCUGACGACGGUAUAAACUGCAGACAGUGUUUGGAUUUUGCCGGGUUUCACAGGUACCUUCGUGCUGCGUCUGUCAACUCCAGCCGGAGUCACCACCACGGGGUCAGGCUCCGGAGCUGCUCCCGUCCCCUGGAGUCUCACGCCGACCCCUGAGCUUUUGUCUCAUCCCCACCUUCUCUGUUGGAUCUGUCCAGGUCUCGAAGGUGUAACUGCUAAUGUUGGUUUUCCCUAAAUCUCAAAUCCUUACAAAAUCUUGUAUGAGAUGCUCAAAGCGCAGGUUGAUUGAAAACUUUUAUCUUUCGUAAAUCGGGCUUGAAUCGGCUCCUAAUGUUCAUCUUCCUCUUGAUUUUACUUCUUUUACCCUUGUUUUCAGUGGGUCUGAUGCUAUCCUUCCAGUCCUAUUUUUAUGACUCUUUACCUGGAAUCUUCAUUUUCAGCCUUUAUUCGUCUCCUGAAGUUAAAUUGUGUAGAGAGCAUAAGCAGGUUUACUUUUUAUGCUUCAUGGAAGGGUCUUUUUUUUUUUUAAAUAAGAAAACAAAUCCAUUCACAUUUAGUGUACUGACAGAUAGACUUUUCUUUGUUCCCGUUAUUUUAAAUAAGUUAUUUUUUAUUUGACAUUGCUGUUUUCUAUUUUCCUUUUCCAUGUGUUUGUUGGUGUGUUCAAAGGUCUCUUCACUCAAUUUUUUGGUCCCAUUUUAUUUUUUAAUUUUUAUUUUGUUUUAUUUUGCUUUUUAUGGCCAGACUAUGGAAGUGCCCAGGCGAGGGGUCACAUUGGAGCUGCAGCUACCAGCCUAGGCCACAGUCACACCACGGGAUCCUUAACCCACUGAGCAAGGCCAGGGAUCGAGCCCACAUCCUCAUGGAUACCAGUCAGGUUCGUCUCCACUGAGCCACAACGGGAACUCCUGUCCUUUGUUUCUUUAAAUUUUAAAAAAUUGCAGCAUGGUUUGCACUUAAUAAAUGGUUGUCUUUCC
Non-coding RNA from Sus scrofa (pig), 4288 nucleotides. Lineage: Eukaryota; Metazoa; Chordata; Mammalia; Artiodactyla; Suidae. The record is from RefSeq and is a predicted model, not a curated record.